UACGGAGGGUGCAAGCGUUAAUCGGAUUUAUUGGGCGUAAAGGGCGCGUAGGCGGACAGGAAAGUAGGAUGUGAAAUCCCGGGGCUCAACCCCGGAACGGCAUUCUAAACUCCCUGUCUCGAGGAUGGACGGAGAAGACGGAAUACCAUGUGUAGCGGUGAAAUGCGUAGAUAUAUGGCAGAACACCGGUGGCGAAGGCGGUCUUCUAGUUUAUUCCUGACGCUGAGGCGCGAAAGCAAGGGGAGCAAACAGG
This 253-nucleotide ribosomal RNA is filed under the name uncultured bacterium. RNAcentral's name for it is "partial 16S ribosomal RNA". It matches the Rfam family "Bacterial small subunit ribosomal RNA", at positions 524 to 776 of the family's 1533-position model. The record is from RNAcentral.